UAAAUGGGCUUGGCUUCCCACAA
Molecule: small nuclear RNA, 23 nt
Filed under: Arabidopsis thaliana (thale cress)
Lineage: Eukaryota; Viridiplantae; Streptophyta; Magnoliopsida; Brassicales; Brassicaceae
Description: snRNA_11084
Source: RNAcentral